AAAUGCAUGGCCACUUUUGUGUUAAUCACUUAAUUUAAUUUAUUUAAUUUGUUUAUCAGUUAUUUUGUGUGGCUAUUAAUAUUCAAAAUGACUUUGGUAACAUGACCAAUUUAACCUGUAUAUUAUUUUGUCACAUGAACUGUACAGAAGGUACAAAAAAAUGGAGCAACACCUCAGGUGGAACUAUUAUUUUAAGGCAGGUGCAACCCAGUUGCUUUAGGGGGAUGGACUUCCGCCCACUAUUCAGACGCAAUCUGAGAGGCAAACCGAGUGCACUGUCUUCAUUGCUCCUGAACUUUACCUGUAUUUGCAGCUAUCUCCAGAGUUUACAGGGAAUGAUCUGAAAGAGAGAACCUACCCAGUGAACAGCAGUUCUGUGGGAGAAAUUGCCUUGGAUAUGUUGGAGGAGAAUGGCUAGACUGCUUAAAUAACAGGAGGAAACCUCCAGCAGAGCCAGGCUCAGAAGGG
Non-coding RNA from Neolamprologus brichardi, 468 nucleotides. NCBI's taxonomy places the organism in Eukaryota, Metazoa, Chordata, Actinopteri, Cichliformes, Cichlidae. The record is from RefSeq and is a predicted model, not a curated record.